Molecule: long non-coding RNA, 917 nt
Organism: Oncorhynchus keta (chum salmon)
Lineage: Eukaryota; Metazoa; Chordata; Actinopteri; Salmoniformes; Salmonidae
Exons: 3
Source: RefSeq, a predicted model, not a curated record
AGAGAACAGCAGGCUAGUCUACAUUUAUUCAUCAGCUAUCUUGGGACUGACCUCAAAUGUUUUUGGUUUGUUUAUUUGUUUAUUCUCUUAUGUAAAUGUCUACUGUACAAUAAUAAUAAACAUCCUAUCACAAAUAACUCUUAAAACCGCUUCCUCAGUCCCAAGUAGAAGUAGCACUAUCAGGGGCUGUGAUAGGAUGGAUGGGCUGUGUAGGAGUGUUCCAGCAGGUUCUGAAGGGGCUGUGAUAGGAUGGAUGGGCUAUGUGGGAGUGUUCCAGUAGGUUCUGAAGGGGCUGUGAUAGGAUGGAUGGGCUGUGUGGGAGUGUUCCAGUAGGUUCUGAAGGGGCUGUGAUAGGAUGGAUGGGCUGUGUGGGAGUGUUCCAGUGGGUUCUGAAGAGGGAUGGGCUGUGUGAGAGUGUUCCAGUAGGUUCUGAAAAGGGAUGGGCUGUGUGAGAGUGUUCCAGUAGGUUCUGAAGGGGUUGUGAUAGGAUGGAUAGGCUGUGUGGGAAUGUUCCAGCAGGUUCUGAAGGGGUCGUGAUAGGAUGGAUAGGAUGGAUGGGCUGUGUGGGAGUGUUCCAGUAGGUUCUGAAGGGGUUGUGAUAGGAUGGAUGGGCUGUGUGGGAGUGUUCCAGCAGGUUCUGAAGGGGUUGUGAUAGGAUGGAUGGGCUGUGUGGGAGUGUUCCAGUGGGUUCUGAAGAGGGAUGGGCUGUGUGAGAGUGUUCCAGUAGGUUCUGAAGGGGUUAUGAUAGGAUGGAUGGGCUGUGUGGGAGUGUUCCAGUCAGUUCUGAAGGGGCUGUGAUAGGAUGGACAGGACAUCUGUGAGACAGAUGUGUUGACUGACCUAUAGGGAUGAAGAGAGGGAGGAGAUCUGUACUACAUGGACUAGGGGUGCCAUCCAGAGCCACUGAGAACGUUUUA